Pseudophryne corroboree (corroboree frog) is the source of this 3332-nucleotide long non-coding RNA. RefSeq lists it as uncharacterized. NCBI's taxonomy places the organism in Eukaryota, Metazoa, Chordata, Amphibia, Anura, Myobatrachidae. The record is from RefSeq and is a predicted model, not a curated record. The transcript is spliced from 3 exons.
CGCCGGCACCUGUCAUGGAAAGCACAGCAUAGCAGUCCAUAGUGCCGGCUCCCGAACUGCGGAGAGUUGUCAUACUGCAGGGGGUGUUGAUAGGUAUGGAUGCGAUGCAGUGCAGCAGAACCCGAGCCGACUGGGAGGGGCCAUGCCAGACCAACUAGGUGCAGGGAGCGCUGUAACAGGAUUCUCUAGAUCCAACCAUGGUGGCAGUAAGGAGGCGUGCGCAAUCAUGAUGAUGGGACUGAUGGCGGACGGACAGCAGAAAGUGGACAGCCUGUUCAGCCACCUACUGGAGGGUCUUUUCCGGAGCGACACUGAAUACCGACUGAAGAUACAGUCUUCCUAGGGAGGAUCAAUUUGUUCAGGGGUUCCCCAUUGCAAAGAAAACACAUUAUAAUGGCGCUUGUAUUUUGUGUUCUCCUAAAAUACACCAGCUGAAUGGAUUCUGCAUUAACCUCUGUACUACCAGAAUAGUAACACAGUGUUUUACAACAGAAACCUGCAGAACUGCAACAGCACAAGUAACUGAUUACAGUGCCGUUUCUUCCAUUGGGAUUAAUGGGCAGUUGCCCCCAAGGGCCCCAGGAUUCUAAGGACCUGUGGAUCAUAACCCCCCCCCCCCGCCCCCCUAACCACUGGACAGCCGCCACCGAUAGGGGGCAAACAUCACAGCCACUGAUAGCAAUAUACCACCCGACAUCACAACCGCCAAUAGCAUCCCCCCCCAGACAUUACAGUCACCGCCGGUAGUGCCUUCCACAUCCCCCCCCACUCAUAGCCAACCCCGAAAGCACCUGCCCCACCCCAAACACACAUACACAGCUGGAGGAUUGGUAGGGGCCCCUGGGCAUUGCUUUGCCCAGGAGCCUACACUGCUGUAAAGACAGCCCUGACUGAUUAUCUGCCAUGAUAGCAGCUUGUUAUGUGUAAUAGUCAGCCAUGUAUUCCAAAUGUUCUUAUAAACACAUGUUCGGCCGCAUUCUGUGUUGCACAUUAUGCCUGUGUUCAUGGAGUUAAGUGAUUUUUUUUUGCUACUGCUCAUGAAAAUCCCUAAACAAUCAUCCAGCACAUGCAUCCCAAGGUGUGUGUGCACAGUUGUGAAUGAGAUGCUCGGUAUUAGAAAUGUACUGGAAAUGUGCUGGGCGUUCAUGGGCGGAGACUGGGAGGUGGUUACUCAGAUAUACCUUCAUUUAAAGGUAUAAAAACAAAAUGGUGCAAACAUUUAUGACCUAGCCCGUGGCAAACACCAUUUAUUAAGGAGCUUUUCAUAGAACUAAAGAAAUCUAAAGCAAGUUACCUUAUCUUACUGGGAUAUUUUAAUGUAGCAUUAAAUCCAAAAAUGGAUAGAUGAAGUCCAACAUCAAACAAGCAUUUGAUCAGUGACAACUAUCCUCACCUGAGUUUCAGCACCUGCUUGCUAAAUUUGAUUGAUAUGACACAUGUACAGUUCUGGAUUAAGAUCCCAUGGGGUACUAGGCGAGAUACUGGUUCCAGGUCAGCCCCCCAGACCGUCUCUAUUCAUUACUACGCCUUUCACUCUAUCCCACCCCACCCCUCUCUCUCUGCCUGUUGCUGUAUCCCAUUCCCAUGCCCUCGUCCUUCCACUCUAUCCUGAUGCCCCCCCCCCCCCCCCCCCUGGGCUGCUCUGUCCCACCUCCCUGCUCCAUCCUGUACCAAUACUUACCAGCAGCCCACCAUGUCUUCCUCCCCUCUUGCUAGGCUAUGGGGUGCAUGAUGACAUACUUUAUUACACCCCUAAAAAAUUGAGCUGAAGUUAUACUUUUAGUCUUUUACAUGAUCAGUACAUAAUUCUUAGAAUUACAAUAAGAUGUUAAAUAAUGCCACCUAGAUACUUUAGGUGUAUCCUAUAGAGCACGGCUGGGCAAUCAGUCAGAAACUAAGCAAGGCCAGAAAUCUUUAAAUCUAUUAAAUGUCUCAACAAGCCAACAGACAUUGGAGGUCAUUCAGACCUGAUCGCUAGGGUGCUUUUUUUUGCAUCCCUGCGAUCAGGUAGUCGCCGCCUACAGGGGUAGGGUAUUAGAUGUGUGUAGGUGUACGAACGCUUUUGCUGGAGAUCUGCAGUCUCUGCAGAGCCCAGGACUUACUCAGCCCAGGACUAACUCACCAACUGCGAUGAUCGGGGCCGGAGCUGACGUCAGGAAUCCUCCCAUAAAACGCUGGUUCCCUUCUGCGUUUUUCUGGACACUCCCUAGAAACGGUCAGUUGCCGCCCACAAAGCCCUCUUCCGGUUAAUCUCCGUGCAUUCGCCAGUGCGAUCGGAGUUUUUGCACCAUCCCGUCACUGACUGGUGCUCCCCGUUGCUGUGGACCAUCACACCUGCGCACUGCGGUGUAUACGCAUGAGCAGUUCAGACCUGAUCGCCCGCUGUGCGAAAACGCACAGCAGCAAUCAGGUCUGAAUUAGCCCCAUUGUAUCUAUAAUUAAAGCAGGGUGUGCAGUGCACGGGGACCCAUGCUGCACAUCCUGUACCCAUAUAAUUAUACUUACCUCUUAGGAGUCCUGCAUCGGCCAGCACUGCAGACAUACUGUAAAUCACUGGGAAAAUGGUCCGUCAAACUUAAUCUCAAAGAUUUAUGCAUGUGCAUUAGUGAAGGAUCCAGUAACAGUAACAUAUCGGGGGCGUCAUGUUCACAGAGACCUGCGCAUGCGCAGUAGACUCUGGUGCAAAGUUUAUGGUUUUUAAUUUUUAAUGAGCGUGGAAGAGGGCUCAGAUUUGGGACUGUUUUUAAAAAAGGUAGGGCUCAGACCAGGGGUCUGAUGUUAUUUCUGUAAGAAAAAAAACUAAUUGGGAAUUAUUAUUUUUUAUUAUUUUUUUAAACAAUAUUAUUAGUAUUUUUCUCUCAAAUGUUGGUGUAGUCAUUUGUUUUCAGUGUGUGUAACAAAAUGUAUUUCAAGUCAGUAAAAUUAUUUUAUAUUUUGUAUGGAAAUAGUGACAAGAAUGGUCCCUGUAUUGUAUAUUGUUUGCUAGAUUGAUCUGUGUUUUUUAUUGUAUUUUAGUAGCUAGAAUAGUCCCUGUAUUGUAAAUCAGUAAUUAAAAUGAUUCACGUGUUACUAAAAUGCUUCAUGUAUCCUAUAUUGGACUCUAAAAUGCUCUCUGCAUAGGUCACUACAAUCAUCUCUGUAUUGUAUAUUGGUCACUAGAAUGAUCACUGUAUUGUAUGUCAAUCACUAGAAUGAUCCUUCUGUUUGAGGUCAGGAAUUGUAUAACUUCACUAGAAUAUAACUUGUAUAAUUUAAUGGUCACUGCAAUGGUCCCUGUAUUGUAUAUUGAUUAUGGAAAUGUUCCCUUUAUCGUAUGUCGGUCACUAGAAUGG